This 97-nucleotide microRNA precursor is filed under the name Brachionus plicatilis. RNAcentral describes it as "Bpl-Mir-242_pre stem-loop". The record is from RNAcentral. Lineage: Eukaryota; Metazoa; Rotifera; Eurotatoria; Ploima; Brachionidae.
UUGCGUAGGCGUUUUGCACUGAUUGAUUAUAAAAGUUUAGAACAAAGGCUUUUUGGGGCUUUUGUUUUACGUUCAGUGAAAAAGCCUAGACGCAAAA